CUCUGGGCCACAGUACAGUAACAGUUACAUUGUAGCGGAAACUCCAGCAUGAGUGUGUCAUUGUCCCCCCUCGGGGGGCUUCCACCAACGCUCCUGUUAACCGCUCUAAUCGCACUGAUUGGCUGGAGUCCAGCAUCAUGUUCAGUGGUGCUGGAAAUGACGCGAAAUUACCAGUGUCCAGAGAAGGGAUGGGUGACUCUCACCUAUGAGCACAACAUCAGCCACUGUCAGCAGAGCUGGGAUUGGAACCAAACGAGGAUCGCAAUUUACGACCAUCAGGAGCAGUGUAUAACACCGUGUGUCAAGGUGUAUUCUGGCAAGUUGUUUCUAUACACCUGUGAGAAUGUCACCCUCACCUUCUUCUGCCUGACCAGUGCACAGGAUGUGAAUGAGACCAGGGUCCAUUUCAUUGGGAUCAUCUCUAGGAAGCAAGAAUACAAGAACCACCCAGUCACAGUGAAAGUCACUUGGUUCUCGAGAAGAGCACCUGUUUCCCCGGUGGUUUUAUCACAGCGACGGCACAGCGGGGCCGAUGAGACGAAUUUCGGUUGAAAUGCGACAGAAGGAGAGCACGACUGAACACGUCUUCAUUUUAUUUCAUACGAACGUGGAAAAAUUCUAACGUAACAGAUGUACAGUAUCUUGAGAACUUCCCACAAAAUAAACCAACACAACAAAAAUGUGUUUUUCUGCCA
RNAcentral lists this long non-coding RNA (695 nucleotides) under Scleropages formosus (Asian bonytongue). RNAcentral describes it as "lncRNA (ENSSFOG00015027088.1)". The record is from RNAcentral. Lineage: Eukaryota; Metazoa; Chordata; Actinopteri; Osteoglossiformes; Osteoglossidae.